RNAcentral lists this ribosomal RNA (2863 nucleotides) under Stenotrophomonas maltophilia. Its description in RNAcentral is "bacterial LSU rRNA". It matches the Rfam family "Bacterial large subunit ribosomal RNA". The record is from RNAcentral. Lineage: Bacteria; Pseudomonadati; Pseudomonadota; Gammaproteobacteria; Lysobacterales; Lysobacteraceae.
AGCGCACACGGUGGAUGCCUUGGCGGUCAGAGGCGAUGAAGGACGUGGCAGCCUGCGAAAAGUAUCGGGGAGCUGGCAACAAGCUUUGAUCCGGUAAUGUCCGAAUGGGGAAACCCACCCGCUUGCGGGUAUCCUGCAGUGAAUACAUAGCUGCUGGAAGCGAACCUGGUGAACUGAAAUAUCUAAGUAACCAGAGGAAAAGAAAUCAACCGAGAUUCCGUAAGUAGCGACGAGCGAACGCGGACUAGCCCUUAAGCUGAUUUGGUUCUAGGAAAACGCUCUGGAAAGAGCGGCCAUAGAAGGUGAUAGCCCUGUAUCUGAAAGGGCCAUUUCAGUGAAGACGAGUAGGGCGGGGCACGUGAAACCCUGUCUGAACAUGGGGGGACCAUCCUCCAAGGCUAAAUACUACUGACCGACCGAUAGUGAACCAGUACCGUGAGGGAAAGGCGAAAAGAACCCCGGAGAGGGGAGUGAAAUAGAACCUGAAACCGUGUGCGUACAAGCAGUAGGAGCUCCGCAAGGAGUGACUGCGUACCUUUUGUAUAAUGGGUCAGCGACUUACUGUUCGUGGCAAGCUUAACCGUAUAGGGGAGGCGAAGGGAAACCGAGUCUGAUAAGGGCGCAUAGUCGCGGGCAGUAGACCCGAAACCGGGUGAUCUAGUCAUGCCCAGGGUGAAGGUGCGGUAACACGCACUGGAGGCCCGAACCCACUCCCGUUGCAAAGGUAGGGGAUGAGGUGUGAUUAGGAGUGAAAAGCUAAUCGAACCCGGAGAUAGCUGGUUCUCCUCGAAAGCUAUUUAGGUAGCGCCUCAUAUGUAUCCUCUCGGGGGUAGAGCACUGUUAUGGCUAGGGGGUCAUCGCGACUUACCAAACCAUUGCAAACUCCGAAUACCGAGACGGACUGUAUGGGAGACACACGGCGGGUGCUAACGUCCGUCGUGAAAAGGGAAACAACCCAGACCCACAGCUAAGGUCCCAAAUUUUGUGCUAAGUGGAAAACCAUGUGGAAAGGCACAGACAGCCAGGAGGUUGGCUUAGAAGCAGCCACCCUUUAAAGAAAGCGUAAUAGCUCACUGGUCGAGUCGGUCUGCGGGGAAGAUUUAACGGGGCUAAGCACAGAACCGAAGCUUGGGGUGCAUACUUUGUAUGCGCGGUAGAGGAGCGUUCCGUAAGCCGUUGAAGGUGGAUUGAGAAGUCUGCUGGAGGUAUCGGAAGUGCGAAUGCUGACAUGAGUAACGAUAAUGCGGGUGAAAAACCCGCACGCCGAAAGCCCAAGGUUUCCUUGCGCAACGUUAAUCGGCGCAGGGUGAGUCGGCCCCUAAGGCGAGGACGAAAGUCGUAGUCGAUGGGAAGCAGGUUAAUAUUCCUGCACCUCGCGUAAGUGCGAUGGAGGGACGGAGAAGGUUAGGUGUACCAGGCGUUGGUUGUCCUGGGGAAAGGCGGUAGGUUUGGAUCUUUGGCAAAUCCGGGAUCCUCUAAGACCGAGCACCGAGACGAGCCUUUAUGGCGAAGUCACUGAUACCACGCUUCCAGGAAAAGCUCCUAAGCUUCAGCUUACGCAGACCGUACCGUAAACCGACACAGGUGGGUAGGAUGAGAAUUCUCAGGCGCUUGAGAGAACUCGGGUGAAGGAACUAGGCAACAUGGCACCGUAACUUCGGGAGAAGGUGCACCCUUUUUGGUGGCUCGUGCGAGCUAUAGCUGAAGAGGGUCGCAGUAACCAGGCCGCUGCGACUGUUUAUCAAAAACACAGCACUCUGCAAACACGAAAGUGGACGUAUAGGGUGUGACGCCUGCCCGGUGCUGGAAGGUUAAUUGAUGGGGUCAGCCGCAAGGCGAAGCUCUUGAUCGAAGCCCCAGUAAACGGCGGCCGUAACUAUAACGGUCCUAAGGUAGCGAAAUUCCUUGUCGGGUAAGUUCCGACCUGCACGAAUGGCGUAACGACAGCGGCGCUGUCUCCACCCGAGACUCAGUGAAAUUGAAAUCGCUGUGAAGAUGCAGCGUUCCCGUGGCAAGACGGAAAGACCCCGUGAACCUUUACUAUAGCUUUACACUGAACGUUGAGUUCGUCUGUGUAGGAUAGGUGGGAGGCUAUGAAACUGUGGCGCUAGCUGCAGCGGAGCCAUCCUUGAAAUACCACCCUGUCGUGCUUGACGUUCUAACCUGGGCCCAUUAUCUGGGUCGGGGACCGUGUAUGGUGGGUAGUUUGACUGGGGCGGUCUCCUCCUAAAGAGUAACGGAGGAGCUCGAAGGUACGCUCAGCGCGGUCGGACAUCGCGCACUGUGUGCAAAGGCAUAAGCGUGCUUGACUGCAAGAUCGACGGAUCAAGCAGGUAGGAAACUAGGACUUAGUGAUCCGGUGGUUCUGUAUGGAAGGGCCAUCGCUCAACGGAUAAAAGGUACUCCGGGGAUAACAGGCUGAUACCGCCCAAGAGUUCAUAUCGACGGCGGUGUUUGGCACCUCGAUGUCGGCUCAUCACAUCCUGGGGCUGUAGUCGGUCCCAAGGGUAUGGCUGUUCGCCAUUUAAAGUGGUACGCGAGCUGGGUUCAGAACGUCGUGAGACAGUUCGGUCCCUAUCUGCCAUGGGCGUUGGAGAUUUGAGAGGGGCUGCUCCUAGUACGAGAGGACCGGAGUGGACGAACCUCUGGUGUUCCGGUUGUCACGCCAGUGGCAUUGCCGGGUAGCUAUGUUCGGAAGCGAUAACCGCUGAAAGCAUCUAAGCGGGAAGCGCGCCUCAAGAUGAGAUCUCCCGGGGCACAAGCCCCCUGAAGGAACCAUGUAGACUACGUGGUUGAUAGGUCAGGUGUGUAAGUACAGCAAUGUAUUGAGCUAACUGAUACUAAUGAUCCGUGCGGCUUGACC